Long non-coding RNA from Oxyura jamaicensis (ruddy duck), 414 nucleotides. RefSeq lists it as uncharacterized. Lineage: Eukaryota; Metazoa; Chordata; Aves; Anseriformes; Anatidae. The transcript is spliced from 3 exons. The record is from RefSeq and is a predicted model, not a curated record.
CUCCAGCAGAGUGGUUUGUGUGAGUGAUCCCUCAUCCACUUCAGGCAAAAUCACCCAGGUUGAUUCUGAAAAUGCACAGCUAAUUUUUAAGGUUGUCUUCCAGAUGUGAUAGAAACAGGGAAAAUAACAUUUAGCAACAGUUACAUCUUCAGCUGUUGAAAGAUAAUGCCUGCUGUCUCUCAUCUCUUUUGAUGCACCUCUGAACAACCUGCCUCUCUUGCCUUGGUGACAUCCUCAUAAAUACUAAGGGAAUGCUGUUAUAUUCUUCAGAAGUUGUCUCCUCUCCAGAUACCUCAGCCUCUCCUCACAGGGCAAGUGCUCUAUAUCUGGACCAGCUCUGCUAAAAUCACCCCAGUCUACCAGCAGCUUUCUUCUAUUAGGGGGGGCAACAUUGUACAUGGGACUCUAAAUGUG